This is a long non-coding RNA of Hydra vulgaris (swiftwater hydra), 3194 nucleotides long. RefSeq lists it as uncharacterized. The record is from RefSeq and is a predicted model, not a curated record. NCBI's taxonomy places the organism in Eukaryota, Metazoa, Cnidaria, Hydrozoa, Anthoathecata, Hydridae.
GGACUUAGCCACAUACCAUACAUCCUUAUGCAUUUAGUGCUGCUCUUGCAAUGCCGAUUCAUUCUGUUUUUUCUGCUGAUAGCAGUUUCUGCAAUUUCGCGCAUCCUUACUCUGUUGUUGUUUAUGGAUGAGAAGUUAGAAAAAUAUUGGAUCCUGAAAUUGCAGUACUGUGGACUUGUGCCAGUGAAGAAACAAAAGUAUACAACCAUAUUUUCUAUCUUGCCAAACAUCUACCUGCAAGUGAGAUUGACUUCAACAUUUUGGAUGAAAGUUUUUCAGACAGAAUCAGAAGCAGUACACCACUGGCCAAUGAAAAUGAUCUCACAUUAACCUUUAAUGACACAGGUUUAUCAGGCAAUGAAAUAGAGGAAUAUUCACAAAAAAUAAGCAGGUGCCAGUGACCAAAAUUUAGUGCCACAGCUAAUGCCAGCAACAGUCUUCAGAAUCUAACAUUUUUAGAAGCUGCAAAGGUUAAUAAUAUAUUGGUCAAUCGUUCAAAACAUGUCAGAAACCAUUCCAAAAGGUCUAAAAAUGUCUAUUUUCUUGUUAAAAAUGAAGUAUUCACAGAUGUACAAAUGGUUCAGGAGCAAGUAGAGUCUCUCCAGUUUCUUUUUACAUUUGUCUAACUUUAGGUCACUUUAAAAAUGUCAUAAAAAGGACUGGAAAGUAUUGUAAAGUUGUUAAAAGUAACAAAAAGUUUAUUUACAUUGAUUUAGAGCCACAGCCAUUGCCAUCUAAGGUCAUACAGCUUCAUCGACACUAUGCAUGUUUACAAGCAAGCAAUAAUUUUCAACUAUGCAUCAGUUGGAUAGAAGAAGAAACAUUGCCAAGUUCAUCUCUCUAGGUUGUCUGGUUUUCGUUUGUUUAAUAGCAUCCAUUAUUGAUCUGGGUGUUUGUACAUUGUUGCUGUUUCGAUGUGGACAUGAUCCAGUAUGUUUUUCAACAAAUUCAACAACGCAGACAUGUCUGCAUGUUCAACUACAUAUUCAAUGUCUGCAUUUUGGAUAUGUUGGAAAAUAUUCUGGAUCAUGUCCACAUGGAAACAACAACAAUGCACAAUCAACUUAAGCACAAACAUCCAGAUCAGCAAUGGAUGCUAUUAAUCAAACAAAACCAGAAACCUAGAGAGAUCUACUAGGAUCUACUACUAAACCAUGAAAAAUGAUUACCCCUAUGUACAAAGUUUAGAACAGAAAAUAAUAAAAUUCCAAAUGUAAUCCUUUACUUGGAAAAAAACUAUACAGCAAAUAAAAGCUAUGUGUUCAAGUGGUUGUCCAUCAAUCAUUGGAAUCGAUUAAUUCUUUAAUCUUGUAGAAGUGUAUGUCACUGUAACAGUAUUUGAAAUGCCGGUUGUAGUCCACAAAGAUGGCCAAUUGAAUCUGAUCUUCAUUGGGCCAUUUUUCCUGCAUUGCGAUGCAUUUGAUGGUACAAGUGCCCAUUUCUUCACACAUUUACAGAAUAAAUUCAAAGAAUCGUCAUGCAAAACUGAAAGUUUUAUUUUGAUACUGAUCAAAAAAAGGCUAUGAUUUCACCCAAAAAAUUUCCUUUUCCAGAAUUCAAUCAGGUCUUGUGUAUCUGACACAUAAAACAAAAUGUGGAGUCAUAUCUGGCAGAAAAAGAAGGACAGGGAAAAAAAAUGUCAAGUGGUUAUUAAUGGUUUGUUUAGAAGUCAAGGUGCAGUGUUGUCAGAUGAUUCAAUAGCAUUUAAAGAACAAAUAAAGUUUGUCCAAAACAUCUGCAAAAACAAAAAAAGAGUCAAAUUUCUAAAGUAUUUGGAUCAAUGUUUUGGCCUGAUACUUAAGGAAAAUGUGAUGAGACCUCAUCUUUACAGAAAUGUCCAAGAUAACUGGACAAAGAAUAAUGCAGAGAAAUGUCCAAGAUAACGGGACAAAGAAUAAUGCCAACCAUAUACUGAAUUGUGCAGUUAACUGGAAACCACUAAUGAACUAAUCACACAAAUUUGGAAUCUAGUACAAGUUCAACAAAAGAUCUGUAAAGAACUAUUACUGGCACAAGAUCAUUCAAACUGGCACCAGAAUAUCAACAGCAUGUUAUUCUCCACAAUAAUGGUCACACAUGUCAACUGAAGACAAACAGAAAGCAGUGAAAAAGUUAUUCUGUGCAAGGAUACCAAACUCAAUGACAACAUCAACUGACAGAAAACUCAAAGUGCCUAUGCCCAUGGGCAGUAUGAAAUCAGGUUAAAAAAAGGCUAACAGCUGAACAAUCAAUGACCAUGCUGAAAUAGCAAAAAACGUUUUGGCAAAUAAACAGAAAUUAACUGGAUUGUCUUCUUUAAAUAUAACUUUAUAACAACUUUAAAUAAUAAAAAAUUUGCUGAUAAAUGGCUCAACCAAGAGGGCCUGAUUUCCAAUAAAUAUUUAGGAAAACAUUUUUAGACAACUGAUUUUUUUAUAUGUGGCAUGCCCUUCAUUUGGGUUUCUUAUAAAUAUUUGGAUGUAAGUCAAUGAGCAACUGUGGCAGAUAUCUUCAUUAUUUCAUUUCUCAUCGAUAUAAGUCAACAAUAAGAGUGAUAGUUUCAAUCAAUUAUUUCAAUAGAUUAAGUUUAUUAAAUUUAAUUUGUAUGUUAUUUUGGUUUAUUUUGGGUUAAUUAUUUGUCAAUCGCAUUGCGCAUUGUCUUAUCGGUCCAUUAAUUGAAUAGAUUAAGUUUAUUACAGUUAAUUUGUAUGUUAUUUUGAGUUAUUUUGUCUUUAAGAUGUACCGCUAAGAUAAUAGUGAUUGAGUUACACAUAAAUUUUAUCUAUAUAGAGCCCGUAAGAUAAUGUCCUAAUAAUGGAUUACUGCUCGAUCAGCUAUGCAAAUAUUUGUUGCAUGUGAUUGUUUAGUGUGUUGUGCAUAUUUUAGACACAAAAAUGAAUUUUAAUAGAUGGCACAAGAGAUGCUAGCUCUUUAGAGCUAGUGUCUCUUGAUGAUGAACCAAAAUGUUCGAAAAAAAAAAACUAAUUUUAAAGAGCUGGAUUUUUUUGGAAAAAAAAACAACAUACAUGACUGCUUUGAUUUAUCGAUGGGCAGUUAUGAUGUAGCAGAAAUUUGUGAAUUUGUUGCACUAUAUGUUUUAGAUUUAUUAAGUAAGAUAAUUAAUAGUAAUGAUUUAGGCUUUUAUUUUGAUGAUGGUUUAAUAGUAAUACACAUGCUAACCAAGAAUAUUUUUCAAACAAAAAAUCAGAAUUGAU